CAGCCGCCGCGGUAAUACGGAGGGAGCUAGCGUUAUUCGGAAUUACUGGGCGUAAAGCGCACGUAGGCGGCUUUGUAAGUUAGAGGUGAAAGCCUGGAGCUCAACUCCAGAAUUGCCUUUAAGACUGCAUCGCUUGAAUCCAGGAGAGGUGAGUGGAAUUCCGAGUGUAGAGGUGAAAUUCGUAGAUAUUCGGAAGAACACCAGUGGCGAAGGCGACUGACUGGACAAGUAUUGACGCUGAGGUGCGAAAGCGUGGGGAGCAAACAGGAUUAGAUACCCCUGUAGUCCCUGUCUCUUAUAC
This 301-nucleotide ribosomal RNA is filed under the name uncultured bacterium. RNAcentral's name for it is "partial 16S ribosomal RNA". It matches the Rfam family "Bacterial small subunit ribosomal RNA", at positions 509 to 807 of the family's 1533-position model. The record is from RNAcentral.